Long non-coding RNA from Phasianus colchicus (ring-necked pheasant), 1647 nucleotides. The record is from Ensembl. Lineage: Eukaryota; Metazoa; Chordata; Aves; Galliformes; Phasianidae.
GGGAAAGUGGAGCAGAGACAGCACGCAGCAUGGGGCUCUGGAAACUUUAAGGCCGGGGACAUUCUUUGGAAGGGUUUUGUGUGCGAUGCAAAGCGAUCCGUUUGAAUUAGGCACAAUUAUCUAACUUAUUAACAAAUCCCACAAUGAGGUGAGGAGAAGCGCAUAAUCAAAAGUCUAGUUUAAGCCCCUAAUUCUGAUCUAGAGUCCGCAUGUCUAACUGUCAGGGUCCCCCGGCCGGCCGUAACGAGCCCCGCCCGCGCUAACGAGGCAGCGACUCCCAGGUGCCGCGGAGCCGCGGCCGGCCGAGCACAGCUGCGCCUCGUCGGCGGGCCGGGGCGGGUCCGCCCCAAUUAAGCUCCUCCGGAGGCCGGGGGAAGCCACGAGAGCUACUGGGAUUCAUUGCGUGCGAGAGCCGGAGCUGCAGUGAGAUAUCUCCCGGUGAAGAUCAGCCCGAACCGGUGAGCCGUUCCGGUAGCAACGUUCGAGGCCGUCCGUCCGCAGCAGGAGGCCGUCGGGCUCUCGCCGCGCUCCGUUCGGGGCCGGUGCGGGGCUCCCGCCGAGCAAACCCGGCUUCUCGGAGCCGGCUGAGCCAAGGCUGCAGCAGAACCUCUUGUCAGCCCGAACCGCUGAAAUGGUGGAAGCGGUGAGUGUUUGAGAUUCACUAGGUAAGUUCUCUCUUCUUGGAGCUCGUGUAGGGCUGCCGCUCAGCUGCUUCUGUUUCUUAAGGAUCAGCGCGGUGCUGCUGCUGGGCUCCCACUUAGCCAUUUAAGAAGGGCCGGUGCCCGAGAAGGGAUUUGUGGGUGCUUCAGUCUCUUCCGCUUCCAGCAAUGGGAGUGAGCGGGAUGGGACCAUGCGUUUUUCCCCCUUUCCUUACUUGUAAUUUCAGGAGGGUGAUCUCAUUUCUAUCAUGGAGAUGUGGAGGGACAGCUUGCACGACUGGAAUGCUGUUGUGGGUGGCUGUGUUAUUUAUAGGAGAAAUGGACCGGUGAAAGAACUGGAACAUACUGAACUCUGCCAAGGGAUGAAUGAAGAACUAGAGGAGCUCUGGCGUGUGAGGCUCAAGAGGCAGUAAAUGUGGGUAAUGUCUCGGGGUGUAUUGGUUGCAUACCAGAAUGAGGAAGUUGAGAAGUCCUCCUGCACACAGUUGAAAGUAACCUCACGGCUGUGGGCGAGAGUUCUUGAACCACCCUGUCAGUUGUUAGGAAAGCAAUGCUGCUAGGCAUACCUCGUUCCAGGAGGUUCCUGCAGUGUGUCAAAGAAAGUUUCUGAUGCAGGCAAUGGAGGAGUCAAUGAGGAGAGGGGCACUGCCAGAGCUUGUUCUCUAUAUUGAGUAAUGACCAGCUGGGGAUGUGAAGACAGGGUAUGGCCUUGAGAUAACAUGUGGAAGAUGUGGAGCAAUAUGUAAGAUUGAAACAAUGGACUUUGAGGGAGACAACUUUGUCAUCUUGAAGGACCACCUUGGGUUAGAUCAUCAGAGGUUCCUUAUGCUCAUGCAUGAAUUCCUCUGUGCUCAGGAGGGGUGCAUCCCAAAGAGUAAGAAAUAGAGCAGAAAUGGCAGGAGAUCUGGAUUGGUGAAUGAGGAGCUUGUGGAUAAACUCAAAGGGGAAAAGGAAGGCUAAGGCCCAUGUAGUAUCACCUCUGGGGAGG